UAGCAUAUCAAUAAGCGGAGGAAAAGAAACCAACAGGGAUUGCCCUAGUAACGGCGAGUGAAGCGGCAACAGCUCAAAUUUGAAAUCUGGCUACUUUGUAGUCCGAGUUGUAAUUUGUAGAGGAUGCUUUUGGUGAAGUGCUUUCUGAGUUCCCUGGAACGGGACGCCAGAGAGGGUGAGAGCCCCGUACAGUUAGCAACUGACCCUUUGUAUAGCUCCUUCGACGAGUCGAGUAGUUUGGGAAUGCUGCUCUAAAUGGGAGGUAUAUCUCUUCUAAAGCUAAAUAUAGGCUAGAGACCGAUAGCGCACAAGUAGAGUGAUCGAAAGAUGAAAAGCACUUUGAAAAGAGAGUUAAACAGCACGUGAAAUUGUUGAAAGGGAAGCGCCUAUGACCAGACUUGUCUCUAUCAGUUUUGGUAGUUUUCGGACUGCUUUACUCUGUUAGUACAGGCCAACAUCAGUUUGUUGUCGGGGAGAAAGGCUUAGGGAAUGUGGCUCCUUUGGGAGUGUUAUAGCCCUUUGCAUAAUACCCUUCGGCAGACUGAGGACCGCGCUUCGGCAAGGAUGUUGGCGUAAUGGUCAUCAGCGACCCGUCUUGAAACACGGACCAAGGAGUCAACCUUAUAUGCGAGUGUUUGGGUGUAAAACCCCAGCGCGUAAUGAACGUGAACGUAGGUGAGAGCUUCGGCGCAUCAUCGACCGAUUCUGAUGUUCUCGGAUGGAUUUGAGUAAGAGCAUAUGGGGUUGGACCCGAAAGAAGGUGAACUAUGCUUGUAUAGGGUGAAGCCAGAGGAAACUCUGGUGGAGGCUCGCAGCGGUUCUGACGUGCAAAUCGAUCGUCAAAUAUGAGCAUGGGGCGAAAGACUAAUCGAA
RNAcentral lists this ribosomal RNA (873 nucleotides) under Meredithiella norrisii. RNAcentral's name for it is "LSU rRNA". It matches the Rfam family "Eukaryotic large subunit ribosomal RNA", at positions 36 to 939 of the family's 3401-position model. The record is from RNAcentral. Lineage: Eukaryota; Fungi; Ascomycota; Sordariomycetes; Microascales; Ceratocystidaceae.